RNAcentral lists this ribosomal RNA (253 nucleotides) under uncultured bacterium. Its description in RNAcentral is "partial 16S ribosomal RNA". It matches the Rfam family "Bacterial small subunit ribosomal RNA", at positions 524 to 776 of the family's 1533-position model. The record is from RNAcentral.
UACGGAGGGUGCAAGCGUUGCUCGGAAUUAUUGGGCGUAAAGGGUAGGUAGGUGGUCUCAUUGGUCUGUGGUGAAAGCCUUGGGCUUAACUCAAGAAGUGCCGCAGAAACGGUGAGACUGGAGUCCUGGAGAGGGUCGUGGAAUUCCCGGUGUAGCGGUGAAAUGCGUAGAGAUCGGGAGGAACACCAGAGGCGAAGGCGGCGACCUGGACAGGUACUGACACUCAACUACGAAAGCGUGGGGAGCAAACAGG